Non-coding RNA from Vicugna pacos (alpaca), 1187 nucleotides. The record is from RefSeq and is a predicted model, not a curated record. NCBI's taxonomy places the organism in Eukaryota, Metazoa, Chordata, Mammalia, Artiodactyla, Camelidae.
GAGGCUCAGCGCCUUCAUCUGUAAAAUGGAGUGAAUUGCAGUAUCUACCUGGCUCAAAGCUGGCAAGCAGGAGAUGUUGGCUUAAAGGUCCCAAGGGGAGACUGUGUGUCCUGGACAUUCAGGGCCUGGCAGGUCAUUGGGGCAUGAGAAGGUCUGCUGAUGGCUGAACUGAGAGCAUUCAGGGCUGGGCUCCCAGCCUCCUGAGAUGAGUUCUGUGACUGAUGCUCACAGAACUCUGUGCCACUCUGGACACCCUGGACACCCUGGGCUUUUUACCCCACUGAUCUCAAAUGGGCUCUUGCGAUUGGCAGCCCCCUGGUGAGAAGUCUGUUGCAGGCUGACUUCUCUAGAAGCAGACUCUGAGAAUCUGGGGGGUAAAAUGUCUAUUAGGGAUCAACACCUGUGAAGGGAAGUGGGAGGAAACAGAAUUGGGCAGAGGGAAGAGUCAAACCUAGACACAAGCCCGAGAAACCUCGCCAGCCUGACAGGAAGCUGUGGAGCAGACGCUGCCCAGCAGAGCAGCCUGGAAAGGCUAACGGACUCCACCCAGCCUCUCAGGUGCAGGAGACCUUGGGCCACAUGGCUCUGGAUAGGGCUGCUCCUUGCAGCAGAGGCGGGCCCAGAAGGAGCUGGCAGCUGGAGAUUAUGUGCUGACCACCUUCCCUACAAGUUAUUUCACGAAGGGAGAUCUGGUUGGUGCCUCUCCAUUUGGCUACAGAGAAUUUUUACUUAGCCUGUGUACCAAGUUUGAGUGUGGCAAGUAUGUCAAGAGUGAAGAGGAACUAAUUGCAUUCUGGCUCCCCCAAUUAAACGUUUACGCAGAGAAGAUGAGCCCAUAUGAAUGUGGCUUCGACCCUAUAGUAUCCGCCCACUUACCUUUUUCCAUAAAGUUCUUUUUGAUUGCUAUUACAUUUCUCCUAUUUGACCUAGAAAUCGCCCUCCUCUUACCCCUGCCCUGAGCAGCCCAAACAAAUCACUUACACACCGUACUAACUAUAGCACUUCUCCUUAUCUCAUUAUUAGCGAUUAGUCUCGCCUAUGAAUGAACCCAAAAAGGACUAGAAUGAACUGAAUAUGAUAAUUAGUUUAAAUAAAAUUAAUGAUUUCGACUCAUUAGAUUGUGAUUAAGUUCAUAAUUAUCAAAUGUCCAUAGUGUAUAUAUAUAUUAUCUUAGCAUUCACUGUGUG